GAUGAACGCUGGCGGCGUGCUUAACACAUGCAAGUCGAGCGGGCAAUUUAUCUAGCACUGAUUACUUCAAAUGGAAAUCAUAAGUGUAAUCAUGAAUUUCUACCUUUAAUAAAGAAAAAAGAAAUUCAUGUACGCAAAUAGUGAUAACACAUUUUAGUGGAGUGAUGAGUGCUGGAUAAAUUGCUAGCGGCGGACGGGUGCGUAACACGUGGGUAACCUGCCCCUAUCACUGGGAUAACACACUGAAAAGUGUGCUAAUACCAGAUAAUAUAAGCUUUUGGCAUCAUUAGCUUAUCAAAGAAUUUCGGAUAGGGAUGGGCCCGCGUCUGAUUAGCUAGUUGGUGAGGUAACGGCUCACCAAGGCAACGAUCAGUAGCCGACCUGAGAGGGUGAUCGGCCACACUGGAACUGAGACACGGUCCAGACUCCUACGGGAGGCAGCAGU
Molecule: ribosomal RNA, 445 nt
Filed under: uncultured bacterium
Lineage: Bacteria
Description: bacterial SSU rRNA
Rfam family: Bacterial small subunit ribosomal RNA
Source: RNAcentral